Long non-coding RNA from Manis pentadactyla (Chinese pangolin), 788 nucleotides. RefSeq lists it as uncharacterized. The transcript is spliced from 5 exons. NCBI's taxonomy places the organism in Eukaryota, Metazoa, Chordata, Mammalia, Pholidota, Manidae. The record is from RefSeq and is a predicted model, not a curated record.
CAAGAGGCAAUACAAGUUUAACUUUGCUGAUGCUCUGUUUCUCCAGUUUAUUAUUAUUAUUUUUUCUCUCUAUUGAUUUUGUGGUUUUGCUCUUUUCUGUUUCCUGCAUGGUCAAUAAAGUCAUUCCCCAGUGGGGGCAGCAAUGUUGGGAAUUGGGUUUCAUGGUUUGGCCAUCGGUAAUCUCUGUCAAAUGGAUGAUGAAAAUCUAGGCUCUGCAGGGUGAGCGAUAACAGAAUUUGGUUCGUUCAUCUUUUUUCUGUUUGCCUAUGUGUGGACUCAAAUCAACUGAAAAGUAUUUUGUGAACACCGGGAAGGGCAAUAGCUUUUGAGAUCGAAACUGGUCAAAAUAUGAGAGCAAUGACUCAUGAAAACAACCCUCACCUCCCAGUCUCUCUGUGAUGUUCCUACCCAGCUGUCUGCCUUCUCUUAGAGUCAGCCUUCUGCAAGCCUGUGAAGUAAAGAAGGACGCAGUGAGAAACUGGGACUAUCCCCAAAUCCAUCUAUCUGAACACUAGGCUGCUCAAUUUACCUUCAUCAGAAUAAAUAUCCCUUUUCAGGAUGAUAGAUUUACAUCUUUUCUGGGAAAAUAUCGACUAAAGGAAUCAGUGACAACAACAGCCAGUAGAAUUAUGUCCAGAACAAGGGAAGAACAAAGAUGGUUUGAUGCAGUGUAGCAGUUCAGAGACAGGUAAGUGGGGGAGAGGGGGUAGGGUUGAUGACACAGGCCUGAAAUUCUGCAGUAUAUGUCAAGGGAUUCCAUAAUGUUACAUGCUCUGAAGGAAACUAUG